GACGAACGCUGGCGGCGUGCUUAACACAUGCAAGUCGAGCGGUAAGGCCCUUUCGGGGGUACACGAGCGGCGAACGGGUGAGUAACACGUGGGUGACCUGCCCUCAGCUCUGGGAUAAGCCUGGGAAACCGGGUCUAAUACUGGAUAUGACUCCAUGACGCAUGUUGUGGGGUGGAAAGCCUUGUGCGGCUGAGGAUGGGCCCGCGGCCUAUCAGCUUGUUGGUGGGGUGAUGGCCUACCAAGGCGACGACGGGCAGCCGGCCUGAGAGGGCGACCGGCCACACUGGGACUGAGACACGGCCCAGACUCCUACGGGAGGCAGCAGUGGGGAAUCUUGCGCAAUGGGCGAAAGCCUGACGCAGCGACGCCGCGUGAGGGAUGACGGCCUCGG
RNAcentral lists this ribosomal RNA (391 nucleotides) under uncultured bacterium. Its description in RNAcentral is "bacterial SSU rRNA". It matches the Rfam family "Bacterial small subunit ribosomal RNA", at positions 28 to 420 of the family's 1533-position model. The record is from RNAcentral.